RNAcentral lists this ribosomal RNA (305 nucleotides) under uncultured bacterium. RNAcentral's name for it is "bacterial SSU rRNA". It matches the Rfam family "Bacterial small subunit ribosomal RNA", at positions 335 to 658 of the family's 1533-position model. The record is from RNAcentral.
UGCCUACGGGGGGCAGCAGUCGGGAAUAUUGCGCAAUGGAGGAAACUCUGACGCAGUGACGCCGCGUAUAGGAAGAAGUUUUUCGGAAUGUAAACUAUUGUCGUUAGGGAAGAGAAAGGACAGUACCUAAGGAGGAAGCUCCGGCUAACUACGUGCCAGCAGCCGCGGUAAUACGUAGGGAGCGAGCGUUGUCCGGAAUUACUGGGUGUAAAGGGAGCGUAGGCGGGCGAGAAAGUUGAAUGUUAAAUCUACCGGCUUAACUGGUAGCUGCGUUCGAAACUUCUUGUCUUGAGUGAAGUAGAGGC